CUCCCAACAGUAACUUUACUCUUUAUUUAACCAUACAUUUAUUUUUUAUUCUUUUCCCAAUUCAUUUAUCUCCAUCUCUUUUGUUCUUGAACAAAAGCUCUCUUCUUUGUUCUUCAUCCACCAUUUUCAAAGCUUGAAUUUAGUUGUUGUAUCUUCUCCAACUAAGAUUGAAUUUAGGAUUUGCAAUUUUCUCGAAUUUC
This 200-nucleotide long non-coding RNA is filed under the name Solanum tuberosum (potato). Its description in RNAcentral is "long non-coding RNA (STUB_LNC011164)". Lineage: Eukaryota; Viridiplantae; Streptophyta; Magnoliopsida; Solanales; Solanaceae. The record is from RNAcentral.